AUAUCAUUGAUUAUACUUUUACCAAAGUAACUGAAGAAAUAAGUAUUAAAAUAAUUUAGUCUUUAUUAAAAAUGUAUCACAUAAAAUUAUUUGUUCUUUCAGAUGUGCUGCAGUGAAAAAAUGUUUGGACGAAAAUGUAAUCAAGCGGAUUGAAAUCAUAUGUGAAGUGUCCGCACAUGGAAAUUUAAAAUACCAUGACACCACAAACAAUAAGUAAGUUGGAGUGAUCAACGACAGUAAAUCUUCUAUGAAGUUUAAUAGGUACUUAUGCUCCAGCUACACCUAUCUACUCUUUAAGUAGCUGCAUUACAAAGAAUGUCUUCAUGAAAAUAUUGCAUUGGAAAACAAUGAAAUAAAAACUAAGAAGAGAUUAUAAAGUUCAAAUAUUACAAGAGUUGACUGCAGGAAUUAUCUUUUAAAAUGUAAUUUGCAACAAUAUACAGCACUGAUUACAGACAUGGCUUGCCAAAUUUAUAAACUUUUUGGGAGAUGCAGCAACACCAUCCUUUUUAAAAUGUACAAUAUAAGAUGAAAAAUUCUGAAGGUGAAUGUGGCUGAAGACUAAUAAACUUAAGAAAGGUGACGUUUGUUUGAAAUAGUAAUGCUGAAAAAAGGAAAUAUAUUCAGGAUAUUUCAACUCUCGAAGUACCAACUUUGAAGCCGAAAUGGAUAAUAAGAGUAUUACUCGAUAUAGGUCGGAUAAUAUAAAGUGUAAACCUUAAAAAAUAUGUACAUCAAUAUUUCUUAAAUAAAAUAAAUUUUAAUUAUUAUUGAA
Molecule: long non-coding RNA, 775 nt
Organism: Colias croceus (clouded yellow)
Lineage: Eukaryota; Metazoa; Arthropoda; Insecta; Lepidoptera; Pieridae
Exons: 12
Source: RefSeq, a predicted model, not a curated record